This 492-nucleotide ribosomal RNA is filed under the name uncultured bacterium. Its description in RNAcentral is "partial 16S ribosomal RNA". It matches the Rfam family "Bacterial small subunit ribosomal RNA", at positions 29 to 507 of the family's 1533-position model. The record is from RNAcentral.
AGUGAACGCUGGCGGUAGGCCUAACACAUGCAAGUCGAACGGCAGCACAGUAAGAGCUUGCUCUUACGGGUGGCGAGUGGCGGACGGGUGAGGAAUACAUCGGAAUCUACUUUUUCGUGGGGGAUAACGUAGGAAAACUUACGCUAAUACCGCAUACGACCUACGGGUGAAAGCAGGGGAUCUUCGGACCUUGCGCGAUUGAAUGAGCCGAUGUCGGAUUAGCUAGUUGGGGGGGUAAAGGCCCACCAAGGCGACGAUCCGUAGCUGGUCUGAGAGGAUGAUCGGCCACACUGGAACUGAGACACGGUCCAGACUCCUACGGGAGGCAGCAGUGGGGAAUAUUGGACAAUGGGCGCAAGCCUGAUCCAGCCAUACCGCGUGGGUGAAGAAGGCCUUCGGGUUGUAAAGCCCUUUUGUUGGGAAAGAAAAGCAGCAGGUUAAUACCCCGCUGUUCUGACGGUACCCAAAGAAUAAGCACCGGCUAACUUCGUG